RNAcentral lists this transfer RNA (93 nucleotides) under Streptomyces tanashiensis. RNAcentral's name for it is "tRNA-Ala". The record is from RNAcentral. Lineage: Bacteria; Bacillati; Actinomycetota; Actinomycetes; Kitasatosporales; Streptomycetaceae.
CGCCGAGCUGGCGGGGGCCUGACCCCACGGGCCCCGGCAGGGCCGGGGAGGCGCUGCCGUGACUUUGACCGGUCCCACCGGCUGCCCGGUGUC